UACGAAGGUCCCAAGCGUUAUCCGGAUUUAUUGGGUUUAAAGGGUGCGUAGGCGGGUUAUUAAGUCAGUGGUGAAAGCCUACAGCUUAACUGUAGAACUGCCAUUGAUACUGAUGAUCUUGAGUACGAUUGAGGUAGGCGGAAUGUGUCAUGUAGCGGUGAAAUGCUUAGAUAUGACACAGAACACCGAUUGCGAAGGCAGCCUACUAAGUCGUAACUGACGCUGAUGCACGAAAGCGUGGGGAGCAAACAGG
This 253-nucleotide ribosomal RNA is filed under the name uncultured bacterium. RNAcentral describes it as "partial 16S ribosomal RNA". It matches the Rfam family "Bacterial small subunit ribosomal RNA", at positions 524 to 776 of the family's 1533-position model. The record is from RNAcentral.